This 397-nucleotide ribosomal RNA is filed under the name uncultured bacterium. RNAcentral describes it as "bacterial SSU rRNA". It matches the Rfam family "Bacterial small subunit ribosomal RNA", at positions 362 to 776 of the family's 1533-position model. The record is from RNAcentral.
UAUUGCACAAUGGGGGAAACCCUGAUGCAGCGACGCCGCGUGAAGGAUGAAGUAUUUCGGUAUGUAAACUUCUAUCAGCAGGGAAGAAAAUGACGGUACCUGACUAAGAAGCCCCGGCUAACUACGUGCCAGCAGCCGCGGUAAUACGUAGGGGGCAAGCGUUAUCCGGAUUUACUGGGUGUAAAGGGAGCGUAGACGGUAUGGCAAGUCUGAUGUGAAAACCCGGGGCUCAACCCCGGGACUGCAUUGGAAGCUGUCGGACUAGAGUGUCGGAGAGGCAAGUGGAAUUCCUAGUGUAGCGGUGAAAUGCGUAGAUAUUAGGAGGAACACCAGUGGCGAAGGCGGCUCACUGGACUGUAACUGACGUUGAGGCUCGAAAGCGUGGGGAGCAAACAGG